RNAcentral lists this ribosomal RNA (527 nucleotides) under Stenotrophomonas sp. Its description in RNAcentral is "bacterial SSU rRNA". It matches the Rfam family "Bacterial small subunit ribosomal RNA", at positions 326 to 844 of the family's 1533-position model. Lineage: Bacteria; Pseudomonadati; Pseudomonadota; Gammaproteobacteria; Lysobacterales; Lysobacteraceae. The record is from RNAcentral.
ACGGUCCAGACUCCUACGGGAGGCAGCAGUGGGGAAUAUUGGACAAUGGGCGCAAGCCUGAUCCAGCCAUACCGCGUGGGUGAAGAAGGCCUUCGGGUUGUAAAGCCCUUUUGUUGGGAAAGAAAAGCAGCCGGUUAAUACCCGGUUGUUCUGACGGUACCCAAAGAAUAAGCACCGGCUAACUUCGUGCCAGCAGCCGCGGUAAUACGAAGGGUGCAAGCGUUACUCGGAAUUACUGGGCGUAAAGCGUGCGUAGGUGGUUGUUUAAGUCUGUUGUGAAAGCCCUGGGCUCAACCUGGGAAUUGCAGUGGAUACUGGGCGACUAGAGUGUGGUAGAGGGUAGUGGAAUUCCUGGUGUAGCAGUGAAAUGCGUAGAGAUCAGGAGGAACAUCCAUGGCGAAGGCAGCUACCUGGACCAACACUGACACUGAGGCACGAAAGCGUGGGGAGCAAACAGGAUUAGAUACCCUGGUAGUCCACGCCCUAAACGAUGCGAACUGGAUGUUGGGUGCAAUUUGGCACGCAGU